AUUUAUAAUAUAUUUUAUUAAAUUAAUUGACAAUAUAUUUAUAGUAAAUUAUAAAGUAAAUUAAUUUGCAUACAAUGUCUUCAACUUCGAGUGAACAAUUGGAAACUGUACAGUUCAAAUUUGGUUCUCUUCAAGAGUUUAAUGAUUGGAAAGAGAAGGAAGAAUUGGCCACUUCAACACGCUAUGUACAACAUAAAGGGUCAAAAACGAAUAUGGAUAAAACAAUUAGGUACCACAAAGUAUUACUGCCAUAAGUCUGGAGUAUUCAAAUCCAAAGGAAAAGAAGAACGUGCAUUAAAGAUAACUGGAUCUUGUAAAAUUGAUCAAUGCUGCCCUUCUUUUAUAAGAACUAUUGCUGGACUGAUCAAUAUAGAUGUAACAUAUUGUAAAACUCACUUUGGUCACUAACACAAAAUUAGAUUUCUUGCCAUCCCGACUAUUGUUCAAGAAACAAUUGCUGAUAUAGGUAUAUAUUUAUAUUUGAAAUUUACUCUUACUAGGUGUAGUUUAAUAUGAUCUAAUAUUUAUGUAUUAAUUAAGUA
Molecule: long non-coding RNA, 542 nt
Organism: Metopolophium dirhodum (rose-grain aphid)
Lineage: Eukaryota; Metazoa; Arthropoda; Insecta; Hemiptera; Aphididae
Exons: 3
Source: RefSeq, a predicted model, not a curated record